CCUACGGGCGGCAGCAGUGGGGAAUAUUGCACAAUGGGCGCAAGCCUGAUGCAGCCAUGCCGCGUGUGUGAAGAAGGCCUUCGGGUUGUAAAGCACUUUCAGCGGGGAGGAAGGCGGUGAGGUUAAUAACCUCAUCGAUUGACGUUACCCGCAGAAGAAGCACCGGCUAACUCCGUGCCAGCAGCCGCGGUAAUACGGAGGGUGCAAGCGUUAAUCGGAAUUACUGGGCGUAAAGCGCACGCAGGCGGUCUGUCAAGUCGGAUGUGAAAUCCCCGGGCUCAACCGGGGAACUGCAUUCGAAACUGGCAGGCUAGAGUCUUGUAGAGGGGGGUAGAAUUCCAGGUGUAGCGGUGAAAUGCGUAGAGAUCUGGAGGAAUACCGGUGGCGAAGGCGGCCCCCUGGACAAAGACUGACGCUCAGGUGCGAAAGCGUGGGGAGCAGACAGGAUUAGAUACCCUAGUAGUC
Molecule: ribosomal RNA, 465 nt
Filed under: uncultured Klebsiella sp.
Lineage: Bacteria; Pseudomonadati; Pseudomonadota; Gammaproteobacteria; Enterobacterales; Enterobacteriaceae
Description: bacterial SSU rRNA
Rfam family: Bacterial small subunit ribosomal RNA
Source: RNAcentral